RNAcentral lists this ribosomal RNA (465 nucleotides) under uncultured bacterium. RNAcentral's name for it is "partial 16S ribosomal RNA". It matches the Rfam family "Bacterial small subunit ribosomal RNA", at positions 28 to 507 of the family's 1533-position model. The record is from RNAcentral.
GACGAACGCUGGCGGCGUGCUUAACACAUGCAAGUCGAACGGAAAGGCCCUGCUUGCAGGGUACUAGAGUGGCGAACGGGCGAGUAACACGGGGGUGAACUGCCCUGCACUUCGGGAUAAGCCUGGGAAACUGGGUACAAUACCGGAUAGGGGCCACUUUUAGUGGGUGGGUUGGAAAGUUUUUUCGGUGUAGGAUGAGCUCGCGGCCUAUCGGCGUGUUGGUGGGGUAAUGGCCUACCAAGGCGGCGACGGGACGCCGGCCUGUGAGGGUGGACGGCCAUCUUGGCUCUGAGAUACGGCCCCGACGCCUACGGGAGGCAGCAGUGGGGAAUAUUGCACAAUGGGCGCCAGCCUGAUGCAGCGACGCCGCGUGGGGUAUGACGGCCUUCGGGUUAUAAACUCCUUUCGCUAGGGACGAAGCUUUUUGUGACGGUACCUAGAGAAGAAGCACCGGCUAACUACGUG